UACGUAGGGGGCAAGCGUUGUCCGGAUUUAUUGGGCGUAAAGAGCGUGUAGGCGGCCAGGUAGGUCAGCUGUGAAAACUCGAGGCUCAACCUCGAGACGCCGAUGGAAACCAUCUGGCUAGAGUCCGGAAGAGGAGAGUGGAAUUCCUGGUGUAGCGGUGAAAUGCGCAGAUAUCAGGAAGAACACCCGUGGCGAAGGCGGCUCUCUGGUACGUGACUGACGCUGAGACGCGAAAGCGUGGGGAGCAAACAGG
RNAcentral lists this ribosomal RNA (253 nucleotides) under uncultured bacterium. Its description in RNAcentral is "partial 16S ribosomal RNA". It matches the Rfam family "Bacterial small subunit ribosomal RNA", at positions 524 to 776 of the family's 1533-position model. The record is from RNAcentral.